UUAAAAUCUCUGAUCUUAUACUUUCUUAUCUAUAAAAAAGAUGACUAUUGAGGUGCCUUAAAUCUAUGUUCCUAUACAUAACAUAUUUCAGGGUUAUGGAGAUAAUCAGGGGUUGAACCUUUACCUUCUGUACUGGAACCUGUGGAGGUCAGCACAUGGAGUACAAGUUGAGAUGGCACUGUGGAGACUAUUACCCAAUGGAGCAUGCAUGGAUAAGCUUGUAACCUGGGUCAUUUAGAUGGCUCAAGCCACUUUCAGAUAUGGAAUCUGAAGCAGAGAAAGCUUAAAUCACUUGUGCAGAGUUGCCCAUCCAGGAAGUGAGGUAAGAUUGGAAAUCUGGUCUUCUUGACUCCAAAUCUCAAGCACUUUCCACCAUACCAUCUUUACGUCCAAAACUAUCCUCGAAGAUACAAAGAAAGUUGACAAUGGCAAAAUGGAGAAACUGAGGACUAGAAGGUCAAGGACUACAUAUUUAGAAUAGUAAGAGAAUUUUGAAAGUACUUAGUUGAAAACCCUGAUUUUGCAGAUGAAGAAACUGAACUGUAAAGAGAGAAUAUACCUUUCCCUAAGUCACAGGUUGGAAAUGCAGAAAUCAUUAUCUCAAUCCCGCUUUGAUCAUCACCUGAGCCUUGAUCUGAUUUGUCUCCCACUUUCAGGGGUUUUCCAUAUUAAUGUUGAACUUAAGGAAGACAAACAAUCAACUUCAUCUACUGUUUCUCAGAACUUCUGAGCUCAAAAGAGAUGCUAGCUUUAGCUUUCCUGAAUAUCAAUAAGUUCUUCUUCUUCUUUUUUAUCAUUGUUAUUUUAUAGUAGUUAUCAAAAAUAAUUAAAUAUAGUGAG
Molecule: long non-coding RNA, 840 nt
Filed under: Monodelphis domestica (gray short-tailed opossum)
Lineage: Eukaryota; Metazoa; Chordata; Mammalia; Didelphimorphia; Didelphidae
Description: lncRNA (ENSMODG00000045538.1)
Source: RNAcentral